AUUCAACAGUGGCAGGGAGGGAAGAGCCACAGCUCUGGAGAGCACUCUUUUCUUCUGGUCCAUUAUUUUCCCUGAAGAGACCCCUGACGCCUAAAGAGAUGGGGUCUCACUAUAUUCCCCAGGAUGGUCUCCAACUCCUGGACUCAAGCAAUCUUCCCACCUCAGACUACAGGCAUGAGCCACCAUGCCCAGCCAUAUUGUUCAUUUUUAAUCCUAGGUUAACUGAUACCUCCUCUGGGAAGCAGCACCUGAUUUCCAAGCCAAAUAAGACAUCACAUGGAAAUAUAACCAUGUCAUUGCCCCAUGCAAAAUUAUCUGGUGAUUCUCCAUUGCCUAGAGAACAAAAUUGAUGUCUCCUAAGCAAGAACAACAAGGCUCUUUCUGAUUUAACAAUUGCCCCCAGUUCUUCCCCAAACCCCGCCCUCAUUUAAUAUUCCAGCCAUAUGCAUCUAUGGUGGCUUCCUGAAUACAGCCAGCUCCUGCAUACUUCCCUAAUGCUAAGGUCCAUGCCAUCAAACUUAGGAGGUUGGAUCAACUUGCACUUGAAUUUCUGGAACACAAGCAUGCAAAAUGCAGAAACUGGCUGUACCCUGGUGACAGGGGAAAAGGCGUCCCUCCCAUGGGUGGAUCAGAAAUCAAGGGCUCUGCCGCUGCUCUUUGAGGGUAGUGGGUAAGAGUGUGGUCCUUGAACAGAAUCAAACCUGGCCUAACUCUUACUUGUCACUUACCAGCAAUGUAAUCUUGGCUGUGUCUCUGAACUCCCAUUUCUCUAUCUGGGGGAGGGAAAUGGUAAGAACACCCCUAAACUGUUAGAGGAAGGAAUGUCUGGCAUAUAGCAGGUGCUCAAUAAAUGUCCAUUCUUAUUAGAAUUUCUGGAAGAAACAGGCAAUGGUUCCCUGAAAUACCACUGGACUGUCACAAGCAUUUCAGUUGGGUUUCAUGCACUGUCUGAAGAGAUUGAUCCAAGCACCUUGGAUACAUCCGUAGCUCAACAUUAAAAGGCCAAGGUUAUAUCUUCCACUCCCAUCCUUCCCCUCCAGAGCCCCCCUCGGUGGAAAUGACAGAGUCAGGUAAGACACCUUCCUGGGGGAAAGCAUAUCUGCACUCAGGGAACAUGUUCAAGAAUUCAGCCUCUGCCUCUUCAGGCCUUAUAUGAUGUAUGGAUUACAGUAUAAAAAGAUCAAAUAUCUGGAGGCACAGGACUUGGAUUCUAAUCUUGGAUCCUAAUUCUGGCCCUGUUGGUUACCAGCUGUGUGAUCUUGGCUAAGUCACCUACCCUCUGUAAGCCUCAAAUUCCUCAUCUGUAAUAUGGAGGACCUACCUCACAAAUCAGAUGAUGAGAGGGAGAAUGUUUGGGGGUAUAGCCAUACUAUACAGUAUGGCUCAGGCCUAAGGUUCUUGAAUUUGCUUGUUUUUCCUCUUGGCCUAUUUUACUACAGGUUAAAAAUCUGUUAUCUGGCCAGGUGCAGUGGCUCACACCUGUAAUCCUAGCACCUUGGGAAGUCAAGGUGGGUGGAUCACUUGAGAUCUCAAGUUUGAGAUCAGCCUAGGCAACAUGGUGAAAACCUGUUCUACAAAAAAUACAAAAA
Long non-coding RNA from Homo sapiens (human), 1589 nucleotides. Lineage: Eukaryota; Metazoa; Chordata; Mammalia; Primates; Hominidae. The record is from Ensembl.